GGAUGUGAGGGCGAUCUGGCUGCGAUUCUGUCACCCCAUGAUCACUAGGGUUGAUUCGGCUGAUCUGGCUGGCUAGGCGGGUGUCCCCUUCCUCCCUCACCGCUCCAUGUGCGUCCCUCCUGAAAAUUCAGGCUCGGUUGAAGAGGACGACUUUCCCCGAUAGAGGAGGACCGUCUUUCAGUCAAGGGUAUAUGGGUAGCUGCGCUCCCCUGCUAGAACCCCCACACAAGCUCUCAAGGUACACAACCUCACAACACUUGUCUUUUGUCUUUUGAUAAUAGCCAUUCUAACAGGUGUGAGGUGAUAUCUCAUUGUGGUUUUGAUUUGCAUUUUGCUGAUGAGG
Ursus americanus (American black bear) is the source of this 343-nucleotide unclassified non-coding RNA. Its record names the gene 7SK. It matches the Rfam family "7SK RNA". From Rfam's summary of the family: 7SK was discovered as an abundant small nuclear RNA in the mid-70s but a possible function has only recently been suggested. The record is from Ensembl. Lineage: Eukaryota; Metazoa; Chordata; Mammalia; Carnivora; Ursidae.